Molecule: microRNA precursor, 74 nt
Filed under: Bombyx mori (domestic silkworm)
Lineage: Eukaryota; Metazoa; Arthropoda; Insecta; Lepidoptera; Bombycidae
Description: mir-2807 microRNA precursor family
Rfam family: mir-2807 microRNA precursor family
Source: Rfam by way of RNAcentral
UUAACUCAAAUUUGUUUCGAGUGGGAACGUUUGCCGCUAGGGGUGCUGUUCCAACUCCAUACAAAUUUGAGUUA